This 443-nucleotide ribosomal RNA is filed under the name uncultured bacterium. RNAcentral describes it as "partial 16S ribosomal RNA". It matches the Rfam family "Bacterial small subunit ribosomal RNA", at positions 338 to 795 of the family's 1533-position model. The record is from RNAcentral.
CCUACGGGUGGCAGCAGUGGGGAAUAUUGGGCAAUGGGCGCAAGCCUGACCCAGCAACGCCGCGUGAAGGAAGAAGGCUUUCGGGUUGUAAACUUCUUUUAUCAGGGACGAAGCAAGUGACGGUACCUGAUUAAUACGCCACGGCUACCUACGUGCCAGCAGCCGCGGUAAUCCGUAGGUGGCAAGCGUUAUCCGGAUUUACUGGGUGUAAAGGGCGUGUAGGCGGGAGUGCAAGUCAGAUGUGAAAACUAUGGGCUCAACCCAUAGCCUGCAUUUGAAACUGUAAGUCUUGAGUGCUGGAGAGGCAAUCGGAAUUCCGGGUGUAGCGGUGAAAUGCGUAGAUAUACGGAGGAACACCAGUGGCGAAGGCGGAUUGCUGGACAGUAACUGACGCUGAGGCGCGAAAGCGUGGGGAGCAAACAGGAUUAGAUACCCCUGUAGUC